Molecule: ribosomal RNA, 464 nt
Filed under: uncultured bacterium
Lineage: Bacteria
Description: partial 16S ribosomal RNA
Rfam family: Bacterial small subunit ribosomal RNA
Source: RNAcentral
CCUACGGGGGGCAGCAGUGGGGAAUAUUGCGCAAUGGGCGAAAGCCUGACGCAGCGACGCCGCGUGAGGGAUGAAGGUCUUCGGAUCGUAAACCUCUGUCAGCAGGGAAGAACGGUCACUGUGCUAAUCAGCAGUGAAUUGACGGUACCUGCAAAGGAAGCACCGGCUAACUCCGUGCCAGCAGCCGCGGUAAUACGGAGGAUGCGAGCGUUAUCCGGAUUUAUUGGGUUUAAAGGGUGCGUAGGCGGGACCUUAAGUCAGCGGUAAAAUUGCGGUGCUCAACGCCGUAGAGCCGUUGAAACUGGGGCUCUUGAGUGAGCGAGAAGUAUGCGGAAUGCGUGGUGUAGCGGUGAAAUGCAUAGAUAUCACGCAGAACCCCGAUUGCGAAGGCAGCAUACCGGCGCUCAACUGACGCUGAGGCACGAAAGUGCGGGUAUCGAACAGGAUUAGAUACCCCUGUAGUC